This 507-nucleotide ribosomal RNA is filed under the name uncultured bacterium. RNAcentral's name for it is "bacterial SSU rRNA". It matches the Rfam family "Bacterial small subunit ribosomal RNA", at positions 29 to 507 of the family's 1533-position model. The record is from RNAcentral.
AUGAACGCUAGCGACAGGCCUAACACAUGCAAGUCGAGGGGCAUCGGGGUGUAGCAAUACGCUGCCGGCGACCGGCGGAUGGGUGAGUAACGCGUAUGCAACCUGCCUUCAGCAGGGGGAUAGCCCGUUGAAAGACGGAUUAAUACCCCAUAACACAGGGGCUCCGCAUGGAGAUUAUUGUUAAAGGGAUACUUCCUUCGGGGGGUAUUCCGGCUGAAGAUGGGCAUGCGUUCCAUUAGGUAGUUGGUUGAGGUAACGGCUCACCAAGCCUGCGAUGGAUAGGGGAACUGAGAGGUUGGUCCCCCCACACUGGUACUGAGACACGGACCAGACUCCUACGGGAGGCAGCAGUGAGGAAUCUUGGUCAAUGGACGGAAGUCUGAACCAGCCAUGUCGCGUGAAGGAGGACGGCCCUAAGGGUUGUAAACUUCUUUUGCAGGGGAAUAAAGUAUUCCACGAGAUGGGAUAUUGCAAGUACGCUGCGAAUAAGGAUCGGCUAACUCCGUG